Long non-coding RNA from Zootermopsis nevadensis, 1576 nucleotides. RefSeq lists it as uncharacterized. The record is from RefSeq and is a predicted model, not a curated record. Lineage: Eukaryota; Metazoa; Arthropoda; Insecta; Blattodea; Termopsidae.
UUUCAGCGAACUGACUUGUACGUAGGUGUUGAAGGAGCAUGUGUAGUACAGUGUGACUAAAUAGUUUCGGUGCAAGCUUUGAUAUGUACGUAACGCAACGAAUGAGAUUCGAUAUAUAUCGACGUGAGAACCGGCGUGAAGUUCACGUUGUUAUUCUUCAGGCAUUAACGGAGGUUGCGUUGUGUGACACCACGCUUUACAACUCAUACAUGGCGGAUCCUGCGUGUGAAAUUAUGUAUUAUUAUCGAUAUUUUUUCCUGAGAAGUGGAGUUUCAAAAGCACACAUCACAAAUGAGCAUGUCCAUGAAAUGUGUGCUUUCAUCUUUCUGUGCUGGCAACCAGAUAGGAUUAUGUGCUUGAUGGCUUUAAUAAAGAACAGUUGAAUCAGGUAUGAGAAUCAGUUGGAUAAUGGGGGGAUUAAAAUUCACAGUAUGGGAAAUUUUAUAUUUGUCUUUUGCAGCAUUGAUAGUGAUAUGGUUCAGAAUUUGAUUUUCUCAAAAGCUUUUAGUGUACAUCAGACUCAUCCAGUUUUCAUGAGAAUCAGACAUUGUUUUAGACUAUAUGACUGAGUUAUUUUUGUAUUGGGAUAUCGUGUGCUUUUAGUACCUUGUAUUAUUUCACUGUGUUGUAAGUACAAAUAAGUUGCAUGGUGUUGGGUAUUUAUGUCUCGUUAAGUGUUAAUUUUGUGAUAUGUCGUCUGGUCUGUGAUGUUUUGCUGGAAAUAUUUCAUUCUGCUUAAUACUGUGUAGCAUGGAUCUUAUUUGCGCUUGCUGUCCAUCUUGAAACCGUGUUCAUUUUGUAUUUUUCCUAUGUGAAGCUGCCUAGUGAGGAUGGUGAAGAUCAUACAUUUUUUGUUGAAUGUUUUAAGUAUGUUAUCAAAUCUGUACAGAUGUAUUAAAUUCAUCGAGAUGCAAAAUUUGAUAUUUUUUGUUUUGUGUAGAAGACUGGACUUCAGUUCUUUAUUUCCUGUGUCAUUUGUAACUCGUAGCUAUGUUUUUCUUUUUUGCGUGUUAAUUUUAAGGUUACCUACUUGUACAAAGUUCUGUCAAUGUAAGAAGUGCCAAAAACUGUUUCAAAUGACAUUACGCAGUUUUUAAUGUCAGCUUAUUUGGCUUUUUAUUCAUGCAUUUCUGAUAAAAAUUUAAUUUUCUCUGAAGAUGAUAAUUUUUUUAUUGUUAAACUGGAAGUCAGCUGAAUUUGGUAUACGAUACAGUUCCUAAGAUUAUUGAUGAAAUUACAGGCUCAGGUUCAGGCUUCUGCAGUCGCCAGUGAUGGUGGGAAGCUGUUCACAUUGUACACAAUCAAAUUAUUCUUUUUAUCAAGAAUGUGGAUUAAGCACCUGGCAUCUUUUGCUACAAGGAAUGUCAAUGCUACUUCCAUUUUUAUGUCCAAUGUAUUUCUUGUAGUUUAUUAAUCAUUCAAAUAUAUUUUUUGAUAAAGGUUACAGGUAUUACAAAUCAGUCUAUCUAUAUUUUGUCAAGAUAUUUUUUUAUGAAGUGUGGGAUUUUUUGUUUGUUUAUAAAGUUGUGUCUGUACUGGAAUAAUAUGAACCAAAAUUAAAUAUGCUUCACAGUUU